This 495-nucleotide ribosomal RNA is filed under the name uncultured marine bacterium. Its description in RNAcentral is "bacterial SSU rRNA". It matches the Rfam family "Bacterial small subunit ribosomal RNA", at positions 8 to 491 of the family's 1533-position model. The record is from RNAcentral.
AGAGUUUGAUCCUGGCUCAGAUUGAACGCUGGCGGUAUGCUUAACACAUGCAAGUCGAACGGAAACGAUACUAGCUUGCUAGUAGGCGUCGAGUGGCGGACGGGUGAGUAACGCGUAGGAAUCUACCAGAUAGUGGGGGAUAGCCCAGAGAAAUUCGGAUUAAUACCGCAUAAUCUCUACGGAGUAAAGGAGGCCUCUAUUUAUAUGCUUUCGCUAUCUGAUGAGCCUGCGUAAGAUUAGCUAGUUGGUGAGGUAAAAGCUCACCAAGGCAACGAUCUUUAGCUGGUCUGAGAGGAUGAUCAGCCACACUGGGACUGAGACACGGCCCAGACUCCUACGGGAGGCAGCAGUGGGGAAUAUUGGACAAUGGGGGCAACCCUGAUCCAGCAAUACCGCGUGUGUGAAGAAGGCCUGAGGGUUGUAAAGCACUUUCAACUGUGAAGAAAAGUUAAUAGUUAAUAACUAUUAGCNUUUGACGUUAACUUUAGAAGAAGC